UUUUAUAUAGUUUAAAAAAAACAUUUUAUUUUCAUUAAAAAAAUAAUUUAAAUUAAUUUAUAAAUU
RNAcentral lists this transfer RNA (66 nucleotides) under Polistes humilis (Australian paper wasp). Its description in RNAcentral is "tRNA-Glu". Lineage: Eukaryota; Metazoa; Arthropoda; Insecta; Hymenoptera; Vespidae. RNAcentral also lists the same sequence under 1 other name. The record is from RNAcentral.